GAUGAACGCUGGCGGCGUGCCUAAUACAUGCAAGUCGAGCGCAGAAGGUAGGUACUUGUUCCUACUGGGUGAGCAGCGGACGGGUGAGUAACGCGUGGGGAACCUGCCUUUGAGCGGGGGACAACAUCUGGAAACGAAUGCUAAUACCGCAUAAUAACUUUAAACACAAGGUUUAAGUGUGAAAGAUGCAAUUGCAUCAAUCAAAGAAGAUCCCGGGUUGGAUUAGCUAGUUGGUGAGGGAAAGGCUCACCAAGGCCAAGAUACAUAGCCGACCUGGGAGGGGGGUUCGCCAAAUUGGGAAUGAGGAACGGCCCAAGACUCUUACGGGAGCAGCAGUAGGGAAACCUCGGCAAUGGAGGGAAGGCUGGACGAGCAACGGCGCGUGAGUGGAGGAGGGUUUCGGAUCGUAAAACCCUGUUGGUAGGGAAGAAAGUAGGUGGGAGUGAAAAACGCAUGAAGUGACGGUAACUAACCAGAAAGCGACGGCUAACUACGUG
Molecule: ribosomal RNA, 497 nt
Filed under: uncultured bacterium
Lineage: Bacteria
Description: partial 16S ribosomal RNA
Rfam family: Bacterial small subunit ribosomal RNA
Source: RNAcentral